AACGCUAGCUACAGGCUUAACACAUGCAAGUCGAGGGGCAGCAUGGUCUUAGCUUGCUAAGACUGAUGGCGACCGGCGCACGGGUGAGUAACACGUAUCCAACCUGCCGUCUACUCUUGGACAGCCUUCUGAAAGGAAGAUUAAUACAAGAUGGCAUCAUGAGUCCGCAUGUUCACAUGAUUAAAGGUAUUCCGGUAGACGAUGGGGAUGCGUUCCAUUAGAUAGUAGGCGGGGUAACGGCCCACCUAGUCUUCGAUGGAUAGGGGUUCUGAGAGGAAGGUCCCCCACAUUGGAACUGAGACACGGUCCAAACUCCUACGGGAGGCAGCAGUGAGGAAUAUUGGUCAAUGGGCGAGAGCCUGAACCAGCCAAGUAGCGUGAAGGAUGACUGCCCUAUGGGUUGUAAACUUCUUUUAUAAAGGAAUAAAGUCGGGUAUGCAUACCCGUUUGCAUGUACUUUAUGAAUAAGGAUCGGCUAACUCCGUGCCAGCAGCCGCGGUAAUACGGAGGAUCCGAGCGUUAUCCGGAUUUAUUGGGUUUAAAGGGAGCGUAGAUGGAUGUUUAAGUCAGUUGUGAAAGUUUGCGGCUCAACCGUAAAAUUGCAGUUGAUACUGGAUAUCUUGAGUGCAGUUGAGGCAGGCGGAAUUCGUGGUGUAGCGGUGAAAUGCUUAGAUAUCACGAAGAACUCCGAUUG
Molecule: ribosomal RNA, 694 nt
Filed under: uncultured bacterium
Lineage: Bacteria
Description: bacterial SSU rRNA
Rfam family: Bacterial small subunit ribosomal RNA
Source: RNAcentral